Molecule: long non-coding RNA, 4735 nt
Filed under: Homo sapiens (human)
Lineage: Eukaryota; Metazoa; Chordata; Mammalia; Primates; Hominidae
Description: HSALNT0035884
Source: RNAcentral
GGUACCAUUCCUUCUGAAACUAUUCCAAUCAAUAGAAAAAGAGGAAAUCCUCCCUAACUCAUUUUAUGAGGCCAGCAUCAUUCUGAUUCCUUUCCAUCUUUAGUGCUUCCUUCAGGAGGUCUUGCAAGGCAGGCCUGGUGGUGAUAAAUUCCCUCAGCAUUUGCUUGUCUGAGAAGGAUUUCUCCUUCACUUAUGAAGGUUAGUUUGGCCAGAUAUGAAAUUCUAGGUUAGAAAUUCUUUUCUCUAAGAAUGUUGACCAUUGGACCCAACUGUCUUCUGGCUUGUAGGGUUUCUGCUGAGAGGCCCACGGUUAGUCUGACGGGCUUCCCCUUGUAGGUGACCUGCCCUUGUCUCUGGCUGCCUUUAACAUUUUUUCCUUCAUUUUGAUCUUGGAGAAUCUGAUGACUAUGUGUCUUGAGGGUUGAUUUUCUUGUGGAGUAUCUUACUGGGGUUCUCUGGAUUUCCUGAAUUUGAAUGUUGGCCUGUCUUGCUAGGUUGGGGAAGUUCUCCUGGAUGAUAUCUUGAAGUGUGUUUUCCCAACGUGGCUCCAUUCUCCUUGUCUCUUUCAGGUAGUCCAAGCAGUCAUAGGUUUGGUCUUUUACAUAGUUCCACAGUUCUUUGAGGUUUUGUUCAUUCCUUUUCAUUCUUUUUUCUCUAAUCUUGUCUGCCUGCCUUAUUUUGGCAAGAUAGUCUUCAAGCUCUGAUAUUCUUUUUUCUGCUUGAUCAAUUCAGCUGUUGAUACUUGUGUUUGCAUCACGAAGUUCCCCUUAUGUGCUUUAUAGUUGGCUCCGGUCAUUUAUGUUCCUCUCUAAACUGGUUAUUCUAGUUAGCAUCUUCUGUAACCUUUUAACAUGGUUCUUAGCUUCUUUGCUGACAGAAGUAGGGUUCAGAAGCCUACUUCUGUCAAUUCAUCCAUCUCAACCUCCUCCCAGCACUGUGCCCUUGCUGUAGAGGUGUUGUGAUCAUUUGGAGUAAACAAGCCACUCUGGCCUUUUGAGUUGUGAGGGGUUUUUCAUUCCUUUCUCAUCUUCAUGAGUUUGUCUCAUUUUGAUCUUUGAGGCUGCUGACCUUUAGAUGAGGUUUUCGUGGGGACUUUUUGGUUGAUGUUGUUGUUGCUUUCUGUUUUCCUUUGAACAGUCAGGCACCUCUUCUGUAGGGCUGCUGCAGUUUGCUGGGGAUUCACUUCAAGCCCUACUUAUCUGGGUCCCUCCCACACCUGAAGAUGUCACCAGAGAGUGCUGGAGAACAGCAAAGAUGAGACCCCACUCCUUCCUCUGGGAUCUCUGUCCUUGAGGGGCACCCACCUGAUGCCAGUAGAAAUGCUCUUGUAUAAGGUGUCUGGUGACCCAUUGGGGUGUCUCACCCAGUUGGGGGGCACAGGAUCCAGGACUUGCUUAAUGAAGCACUUUAGUUGUCCCUUUGUGAAGGGGGUAUGCUGUGCUGGGGGAAAUCCCACUCGUCUGGGAUGCCUGGAUUCCUCAGAGUGAGCAGGGGGAAAGAAUAAGUCUUCUGGUUUGUGGAGACAACAGCCAGCCACCCCUCCUGCUAGGGACUCAGACUUAGAGAGAUCAGAGUUCUCUCCCUAAUUCCCUGGCUUGAGUUGCUGGAGUUCCUGCAGGGAUGCCCCACCCAGUGAGGAGGGAUGGGUGAGGGUCAGCCUAAAGAGGCAGUCUGGCCAUGAUCUGCCACAGCCAGUAUGCUGCGCUGUGGGGAAUACCUCUUGGGACCAAGCCGUCCAGUCUCCCUGGCAUCAGCAAAGGAAAAACAGCAGCCUGGCUCUGUAGAAAUGGCUGCCGCCCUUCCUCCCCAGGAGUUCAGUGUCUUAGGCAGCUAGCAGCCACAGUGAUGGCUGCUGUCCCUUCUUGGGGAGCUCAGUUUCCUCAGGCAGCAGGCAGCCACAGUGAUGAUGACAACCCUCCCCAACUUUUUAGGCAGACUCCAGCUGAGUGGCUGUUGAGAAUCUGCAUGGCUCUGUAGUUGGCACCCAAGGCCCUGGUGGUGUGGUCUCAUGAGUGGGAUCUUCUGAUCUGUGGAUUGCAAAGAUCCAUGGAAAAAGCAGUUUCCCAGGCUGGGUAGCAUGCUCACUCACUGCCUCCCUUGGCUGGCUGAGGGUGAGGGCUCCCCUUGCCCCAUGUGGCUCCCAGGUGGGCCAAUCCACCAGCCCAUCUUUCCUUGUUCUCUAUGGGCCAUGCCAACUACCUAGUCAGUCCUGAUCAUAGAACCUGGAUAUGUCAGUUGCUGGUGCAGGAUUUGCACACUGUUUUAGUUCUUCUCAGUGGGAGCCUCGAAUUGCAGCUGCUUCUAGUUGGCUAUCUUGCCCCUGCCCCCUUGUCUUUUUGAAAAAUUAUUGUUCAUUUGAAAUCUGUUUUGUCUGAAAUUAGGAUUGCAACCUCUGCUUUUUUUCUGUUUUCUAUUUGUCUGGUAGAUUUUCCUCCAUCCUUUUAGUUUGAGACGAUGAGUGUCAUUAUGUGUGAGAUGGGUCUCUUGAAGACGACAUACCAUUGGGUCUCGCUUUUUUUUUUUUUUAAUCUAGCUUGCCACUCUGCCUUUUAAGUGGGGCAUUUGUCCAUUUACUUUCAAGGUUAGUAUUGAUUUGUGUAGAUUUGAUCUUGUCAUUGUGCUGUUGGCUGGUUAUUAUGUUGGCUUGUUUGUGUGGUUGCUUUAUAGUGUCACUGGUCUGUGUGUUUAAGUAUGUUUUUGUAUUAGUGUGUAGUGGUCUUUCCUUUCUAUAUUUAGUCCUCCUUUCUAAAAUCUCUUGUAAGGCAGAUGUGGUGGUAAUGAAUUACCUCAGAAUUUGCUUGUCUGUAAAUGAUCUCAUUUCUCCUUCAUUUAGGAAGCUUAGUUUAGCUGGAUAUGAAAUUCUUGGUUGAAGAUUUUCUUUAAUAAUGUUAAAUAUAGUCCCCCAAUCCCUUCUGGCUUGUAGGAUUUCAGCUGAGAGAUCUGCUGUUAGCCUCAUGGGGUUCCCUUUGUAGAUGGCCUGCCCCUUUCUCUCUGGCUGCCUUUAACAUUCUUUCCCUCAUUUUGACCUUGGAAAACCUGAUGUUUAUGUGUCUUGAGGAUGGUCUUGUGUAGAAUCUUGUAGGAGUUCUUUGUAUUUCCUGAAUUUGACUGUUGGCCUUUCCAGCAAGGUUAGGGAAGCUUUCAUAGAUGAUAUCCUGAAAUGUUUUCCAAGUUAUUUGAUUUCUCCACCUCCCUUUCAGAGAUGCCAGUGAUUUGUAGAAUUGGCUUCUUUAUAUAAUCCCAUGCUCCUUGAAGGUUUUGUUCAUUCUUUUUUAUUUUUGUCCAUCUUAUUUUAGAGAACCAAUCUUCAAGUUCUGAGAUUCAUUCCUCAGAUUGGUUUUUUCUGCUGUUAAUACUUGUGAUUGCAUUGUGAAAUUCUUGUAUUGUGUUAUUUGGCGCUUUCAGAUCAGUUAGUUUCUUUUUUUAUUAUACCAGCUACUUUGUCCUUCAGCUCCUAUAACACUUUAUUGUUAUUCUUAUUUUCCUUGGAUUGGGUUCUGCCAUUGUCCUGAGUCUUGAUGAUUUUUUUUCCUAUCCAUAUUCUCAAUUAUAUUUAUGUAAUUCCAGACAGUUCAUCCAGGUUAAGAACUCUUGUUGGAGAACUGGUGUGGUUGUUUGAAGGACAUAUGACACAGAGGCCAUUUGAGUUACUGGAGUUCUUGCAUUGGUUUCUUCUCAUUUCCACCUAUGGGUUUUCCUUUAAUUGCAGUGUAGAUUGAGUACAGUCCGUAGACUUAUUUUCAGAUGUUUUCACCAGGCUGAGGCUUUGUGCAGGUUCUUUAUUUGAAGCUGACUUCUCAUUUCUGGUUUCAGAGGGGAGUAUAUUAGUAAGGUAUUUUUGGUGCUGAAGCUUUGGGAUGUGAUCCAGUAGGUGGCACUUGGGCUUACUGGUCAGUUGGUAGAGUCUUGCUUGGUCAUGUGGCUCCCCUAUGUUUCCUCACAGUUGCAGCCAUGUUCACUCUCAAUGAUCUGAAAAUGUGCUUCUCUCCUCCUUGAGUGCUGGCUGUAGAUCAUGGCUUGGCACUCCUAGGCUGCCCACUGCAGCUCUGGGGCAAUCUCAGUGUUUAUAUUUCUUCCCUAACUUUGGGGAAGAAGAGGAAGGGACAUUAGUAGUGGUUGUAGCCAAGGGUCUUUUGUUUGUCUCCUCAGGGUUCUACCCCCGGAGAAUACAGGUCAGCAACUGUUUAUUGCAAUCAGCAAGCAGGAUGGAGAAUUCAUGCUGUGGGGGCCAAUCCAGGGGUUCCCUGUCUGUUAUGAGCAGUGGGGAGUGUGUAAAACCCGUGGGAGAUGGGCUUUGGUCAAUUAAAGCUUGUUGAAGGUGUAGAUAAGGGUGUUAGCUCCUUCAUCAGUCUGAGGGUAGCAAGGACAGUUCCACUGCAGAAGCAGUGGCAGAGAGGCUUUCAGUUGCCCCUGGAGGCUCUGUCCAGGGAGUGGCUGAGUUGCUACUGGCUCGACAGCUCUGGCAGGGGGGUUAGGUAGAGGCCCAGGCCUGCAAGACUUGCCUAGUGAGAAGAUACAGGAAUGGGAACCCAGGUAACAGUCUGGCCACUUUUCCAUAGGGCUGCUGCAGUAUGCCCAGGGCCCACUUCAGUCUCUAGUAGCCUCAGAUUUUCCAGUACCUGGAGUUAUCAUCAGUGAAGGCUGUGAAACAGAAAAGUUGGCAGCCUACUGCUCCCUUUGGAAGCUUUGCCCUAGGGAGGUAUGAAUGAACUUGUUGCUGGCCCAAACACACCUG